GGAGGGGGGCGAGCGUUAUUCGGAUUUACUGGGCGUAAAGCGCACGUAGGCGGCUAGGUAUGUCAAAGGGUGAAAGCCCUCGACUCAACCGAGGAACUGCCUUUGAAACUGCUUGGCUUGAGUCCGGGAGAGGGGAGCGGAAUUCCCAGUGUAGCGGUGAAAUGCGUAGAUACUGGGAGGAACGCCGGUGGCGAAGGCGGCUCCCUGGACCGGCACUGACGCUGAGGUGCGAAAGCGUGAGUAGCAAACAGGAUUAGAUACCCUGGUAGUCCACGCCGUAAACGAUGGGCACUAGGUGCAGCGGGUGUCGACCCCUGCUGUGCCGAAGCUAACGCAUUAAGUGCCCCGCCUGGGGAGUACGGUCGCAAGGCUG
This 373-nucleotide ribosomal RNA is filed under the name uncultured organism. RNAcentral's name for it is "partial 16S ribosomal RNA". It matches the Rfam family "Bacterial small subunit ribosomal RNA", at positions 526 to 896 of the family's 1533-position model. The record is from RNAcentral.